This 253-nucleotide ribosomal RNA is filed under the name uncultured bacterium. RNAcentral's name for it is "partial 16S ribosomal RNA". It matches the Rfam family "Bacterial small subunit ribosomal RNA", at positions 524 to 776 of the family's 1533-position model. The record is from RNAcentral.
UACGUAGGGUGCAGGCGUUAAUCGGAAUUACUGGGCGUAAAGCGUGCGCAGGCGGUGAUGUAAGACAGUUGUGAAAUCCCCGGGCUCAACCUGGGAACUGCAUCUGUGACUGCAUUGCUGGAGUGCGGCAGAGGGGGAUGGAAUUCCGCGUGUAGCAGUGAAAUGCGUAGAUAUGCGGAGGAACACCGAUGGCGAAGGCAGCCCCCUGGGCUGACACUGACGCUCAGGCACGAAAGCGUGGGGAGCAAACAGG